RNAcentral lists this non-coding RNA (230 nucleotides) under Pongo abelii (Sumatran orangutan). The record is from RNAcentral. Lineage: Eukaryota; Metazoa; Chordata; Mammalia; Primates; Hominidae.
CCCUGUCGGAUUUUACCUCCCCCCGGGGGAGCUCAGCCCUGGAUCCCGGCGGGCGGCGGAGCCUCUCUGGAGCCCGGACGGGACAGCCCACCAGGGUCUGCUUCUGUGAGGGGCCGAGGCGUCAUUCCGCGAAGCCUUCUCCUUGCUGUCGCCAUGUGAAGAAGGAUGUGUUUGCUUCCCCUUCUGCCAUGAUUGUAAGUUUCCUGAAGCCUCUCCAGCCAUGCCAAACU